AGGACGAACGCUGGCGGCGUGCUUAACACAUGCAAGUCGAGCGGAAAGGCCCUUCGGGGUACUCGAGCGGCGAACGGGUGAGUAACACGUGAGUAAUCUGCCCCUAGCUCUGGGAUAGCUCCGGGAAACCGGGAUUAAUACCGGAUACGACCACCUUAGACAUCUUUUGUGGUGGAAAGAAUUUCGGCUAGGGAUGAGCUCGCGGCCUAUCAGCUUGUUGGUGGGGUAACGCCUACCAAGGCGACGACGGGUAGCCGGCCUGAGAGGGCGACCGGCCACGACUGGGACUGAGACACGGCCCAGACUCCUACGGGAGGCAGCAGUGGGGAAUAUUGCGCAAUGGGCGAAAGCCUGACGCAGCGACGCCGCGUGGGGGAUGAAGGCCUUCGGGUUGUAAACCCCUUUCAGCAGGGACGAAGCGAAAGUGACGGUACCUGCAGAAGAAGCGCCGGCUAACUACGUGCCAGCAGCCGC
This 474-nucleotide ribosomal RNA is filed under the name uncultured bacterium. RNAcentral's name for it is "SSU rRNA". It matches the Rfam family "Bacterial small subunit ribosomal RNA", at positions 26 to 518 of the family's 1533-position model. The record is from RNAcentral.